Long non-coding RNA from Mastomys coucha (southern multimammate mouse), 170 nucleotides. RefSeq lists it as uncharacterized. NCBI's taxonomy places the organism in Eukaryota, Metazoa, Chordata, Mammalia, Rodentia, Muridae. The transcript is spliced from 2 exons. The record is from RefSeq and is a predicted model, not a curated record.
AAUAAGAAGAACUUGGAAACAGUUGUUAAAGCCAAAUUAUGAUUUUACCUAGCAAAUCAGCUAUAAAAAGGGAAGAAAGAAGAAAUUCCCAGUUGGAAAUAAACAGACUCUACCUUCUUUGCUUGAAGUUAAUUAAAAGGAAUUGAAAUUAUAGAGGAAGCUAAAGAAUA